UGCGGAAGGAUCAUUACCGAGUUCAUGCCCUCACGGGUAGAUCUCCCACCCUUUGUAUACCAUACCUUUGUUGCUUUGGCGGGCCGCCUAGCUACUGGCUUCGGCUGGUAAGUGCCCGCCAGAGGACCCAAAACCCUGAAUAUUAGUGUCGUCUGAGUAAAAUUUUAAUAUUUAAAACUUUCAACAACGGAUCUCUUGGCUCUGGCAUCGAUGAAGAACGCAGCGAAAUGCGAUAAGUAAUGUGAAUUGCAGAAUUCAGUGAAUCAUCGAAUCUUUGAACGCACAUUGCGCCCCUUGGUAUUCCGAGGGGCAUGCCUAUUCGAGCGUCAUUAUCACCCCUCAAGCUUCGGCUUGGUGUUGAGGCCUGCUGUAAAGGCACCCUCUAAAAUCAGUGGCAGUGCUGUCAGGCUCUAAGCGUAGUAAUUUCAUCGCUAUAGGGUCCUGGUGGAUACUCGUCAAAACCCCCCCAUUUUUUAAUGAUUGACCUCGGAUUAGGUAGGGAUACCCGCUGAACUUAAGCAUAUCAUAACCGGGAAAGAAAAAAGUCCAGGACGGAGUUCAGGCCUCCGGGGUGAAUCUCCACCCUUUGUAUACCAUACCUUUG
RNAcentral lists this ribosomal RNA (604 nucleotides) under Tetracladium sp. P_S3_F. Its description in RNAcentral is "eukaryotic LSU rRNA". The stretch from base 176 to 329 matches the Rfam family "5.8S ribosomal RNA". The record is from RNAcentral. Lineage: Eukaryota; Fungi; Ascomycota; Leotiomycetes; Helotiales.